CUUCAUUUUGUGUAGUGUCAACAUUUGCUCUAUUUUCAAUCAGUAAUUUCACAACCUCAAGAUGACCAUUUUGGGAUGCCACAUGAAGAGGUGUCCAUCCUUCAUUUUGUGUAGUGUCAACAUUUGCUCUAUUUUCAAUCAGUAAUUUCACAACCUCAAGAUGACCAUUUUGGGAUGCAAAAUGGAGAGGUGUCCAUCCUUCAUUGUCCGUAGUGUCAACAUUUGCUCUAUU
This is a long non-coding RNA of Aedes aegypti (yellow fever mosquito), 232 nucleotides long. RefSeq lists it as uncharacterized. The record is from RefSeq and is a predicted model, not a curated record. NCBI's taxonomy places the organism in Eukaryota, Metazoa, Arthropoda, Insecta, Diptera, Culicidae. The transcript has 3 exons.